UGCAUCAUCCCUAUUGAACAUGCUCCGAGUAAAAUGCUAGGUUUCACCCGCGCCGCCGUUCCUCUCGACCCGCAGCGGCCCCGCAAUUGAUCACGUCCUCUGCCGCCGGGCACGUCUAUCGAGCUCCUACUCCAGCAGAUCGACGUCGCCGGACCCGUCUAUCCCGUCUCGCCGCCUCUUGGCUCUACCUCGCCGCCGACUAGCUUCGAUAAGAGGCCCUGGGCGGGCGGCCCUGUCCAAACGCUAGAAAGAUGCAGAUCGAGCGAGGGGAUGUUCAACCUGGAAGCUCGAAUAAACGACGCAAAAAAAAUGCGCAUAAGUAGCGAAACUAUGAUUCGAGUCAAUCCUCUCGAAGAGGAAUUCGGCACCUCAAGUGAUUCCGGUGAAGGUGCCUGGAGUCUACUCACCGAAGAAGUCGCGGCACACAUUGAUGACAGUGUUGUGUCGCUCGCUUCAUUCCAUAA
Molecule: long non-coding RNA, 464 nt
Organism: Triticum aestivum (bread wheat)
Lineage: Eukaryota; Viridiplantae; Streptophyta; Magnoliopsida; Poales; Poaceae
Exons: 3
Source: RefSeq, a predicted model, not a curated record